Molecule: ribosomal RNA, 460 nt
Filed under: uncultured bacterium
Lineage: Bacteria
Description: partial 16S ribosomal RNA
Rfam family: Bacterial small subunit ribosomal RNA
Source: RNAcentral
CCUACGGGGGGCAGCAGUGAGGAAUAUUGGUCAAUGGGCGGGAGCCUGAACCAGCCAAGUCGCGUGAGGGAAGACGGUCCUAUGGAUUGUAAACCUCUUUAGGCGGGGAGCAAUGCCGGGCACGCGUGCCCGGAGGGAGAGUACCCGCAGAAUAAGCAUCGGCUAACUCCGUGCCAGCAGCCGCGGUAAUACGGAGGAUGCGAGCGUUAUCCGGAUUUAUUGGGUUUAAAGGGUGCGUAGGCGGAUUUUUAAGUCAGCGGUAAAAUGUCCGGGCUCAACCCGGGCCGGCCGUUGAAACUGGGGAGCUUGAGUGGGCGAGAAGUAGGCGGAAUGCGUGGUGUAGCGGUGAAAUGCAUAGAUAUCACGCAGAACUCCGAUUGCGAAGGCAGCAUACCGGCGCCCGACUGACGCUGAGGCACGAAAGCGUGGGGAUCGAACAGGAUUAGAUACCCCAGUAGUC